CCUAAGUCUUUCGCUCCUAUCUGACG
This 26-nucleotide non-coding RNA is filed under the name Cricetulus griseus (Chinese hamster). Lineage: Eukaryota; Metazoa; Chordata; Mammalia; Rodentia; Cricetidae. The record is from RNAcentral.